GGUUCAAGUUUCUAACCCAAGUGAAAAAAUCCCACACAAUGUUUCUAUGCCAGAUGAUGAGCAUCCUUUUCAAUUCGGCGAUCAGAAAUCGCCGUUGAUCCCGAAAAUCCGGACUUUGUGCAUGUGAGGGAACUUCGCCACUACCAGCACGAAUACCGCCACCGUGUUGAAGAACAGCAUCGGAUUUUGGUAGUCUGUUGUGUGAGAGGCUAUUAGAUAUCUGCAACGAUGGAGAGAGAAAAACAAGAUUUGUUAAGAGAGAAGGAAGGAUCAGAGUCUAGUUCAACAAUUAUAUCGUGCAAAAACGACAAGUGAUCAAUGCUUAGUCAGCUUGCUCUGGAACCAGUUUCUACACCUCAAGUCCUAAUCAUAUUGUGCAGAAACGAUAAAGAUCAAAGCUUGGAAUAUGGA
This 411-nucleotide long non-coding RNA is filed under the name Linum usitatissimum (flax). RNAcentral describes it as "long non-coding RNA (LUSI_LNC001469)". The record is from RNAcentral. Lineage: Eukaryota; Viridiplantae; Streptophyta; Magnoliopsida; Malpighiales; Linaceae.